UGGAUUCCUCUCAGUUGCUCCAUGUACAGAGCCGUUGCGCCUUCUGCUACCUUGAACAUCCACUCGGUUGCAAAGAACUGUGCGUCCUCGUUGUUUGAAUCACCAUUGGUUGAGAUUCCUUCAGCUAGAGGCUCAAGCUGCUGAGGUAAAGUCAGGAGAUAUUAUCCAACGCUUGUAACGUAAGCCUGAGGGUAUGAGCUGAAGUUUGGUAGAGCAAACGCAGUUUGUUCCUCCACAGAAGACCAGAUUGGUAGGCGAGAUACUUCCCCGAGUCUUUGCCUGACUUUUGAUAUGAGGAUGUCAUAUACAAGUUUGUUCACUGUGUCCUCAAACGCAGCUACUCUCUGAGAUGCCAAAGGCAGUGCGUGGAACCUUGGAUCUUUUGACUGCAAAAAAAAAACAGCAAAAGGAAAUGAUACAUAUGAACAGUGUAUAUUAAUUUAUGAAUCUUUGUCAAUUAAGACUACCUGUUCCAACAGGUUUAGGAGUUUGCGAGCCUUCUCCGGAACAUCAACCAACCGAAUAGCUGCCACAUCCAGGGAAGCUCGUCCAGCCAUAGACAAAUCUCCAGCUGUUUGUUCACUUGUCAAAUGUGACAGGUUCUGAUCCAGAUUUGUGCCAAAUAGUGAAAUAGACAAGCUGGAGUUUAGUCUAGCCAGAGUGGCUCUCAAAGAAGCUUCAAACACAGAAGACCUGCUCAAGUCAGCUUCUCACCGUCUUUAUAGGAGCUUUCGUCUAAUAUUUUAAGCCUUCUGGUGUUGUCAAUCGAGACAUGGUAACAUAAAACUGUCCAUGGGUAAAUACAGGCCGGGGAAGAUAUAAAGCUGACUUGCUUUAGGCUUUGGCCUUGACUUUUAUUUAUUGUCAUGGCAUAGCUAAGUCGGAUUGGGUAUUGCCGUCUACGAAGUUAAAAGGAUGUAUGCUGUCAGUUGGGCUUAGCUGUAUCCUAGGGAGUAAUAUUCGUUCACCAACUUCUGGUCCGGUCAUUUUUAUCAAAAAAAACAAAAAAAAAACUUCUGGUCCGGUCAUAAUCUCCACUUCGACAAUCACCAAGCCAUGAUCCUGAUUAACGUUGCGCAGUGAAUUCAAAGGAGUAGCAUGAAUGUAGUUUACUCAAACCGUGCCCAAACUGAUCCGAUUCGAUUGUAUUUUAUAAAUUCCUUACUAACAUUUUCUUGUAUUCCUCCUGUGUAAUAAAAUAAUUUUAAAAUAAAAUCUAAAAAUUAAACCUGGCUGGAAUUAUUCAUACGUUAGUCUCCCAAUUAAUCUUGAAAUUUUAAUAGUUACAAAACAACUAAAAAUUUAAUAAAUCAACAAUUCCAAUUUAGUUAUAUAAUUAUAACUUUAUUUUUCUUAAUCUUAGGAAGAUUGUGAAUGAAUUUACUUGUUCCGUAGUCAUUUGUAUCUAAACCGAAACAUAUAGUAAAAAAAACUAAAUAUUAGGAAUUAGUAAAUCAGAGUAUUUCGGUUGGAAUGUCACGUAAGAUGAUAACUCGAAUAAUACUGAAAGUCUGUAUAGUAACUAAUUAUUUAAAUAUUCUAUUAUAUCAUUACUCAAAAGUUAGUUAUAGGAUGACAAAAAGUUUCCUUUUAGUAUUGUUAUGAUUUCAACGUCAAAAGCCAAAAACGCAAAGGAGUAGCAUGAAUGGAGUUUACUCAAACCCUGCCCAAUCUGAUCCGAUCACAAUUCUAAUGGAUUUUCCACUUUUAUUUCAGUUAAAAGAAUUGAAAAAACUAUAUAAGAGGGAAUAAAUUGAAAUAGUUUUUUUAUUAUUGACUGAAACAAAGAUAAUCAAAGUUGCGAAAGUACUGCAGAUAAAUAAGAAGUAUUUAAACUUGGAACAUGAAACCAUAACUGCUGGUAUCCAAUUUCUUGGCCAUCUUGGUAGAUGAGUGGGUCCUCUUCUUCGCCGAAGCAUCGGCUGGUUUCGCAUCAGUAUUCUUAUCUGCAUCACUACUGCCUUCUCCAGUUUCAACACGAACAGGAACCGGACCACCAUCUGCCAUGUCAGCAUCAUCACCAUCGUUUCUCCCCUGAUACAUUCGGAAAGUGUUACAUACUAACAGACAUACAUAGAUAAUCAAAGGUUCGCAAAAUCACUCUUACCUUAACGACAAAGUCAGGAACUGGAACACGCUCAUGCUCCUUAAGGAUGCGGGUGAUGGUGAGGUCUAAUGGUGUGCAGUGAAGUUAAACGUGCUAACUCUGACCUGGAAGGUGAAUGUUUUUCCUUCCAUGUCUGUGAUAAACAGCGGCACCUAAGAGUCCUCAGGAUUUACUCCUUCCUCAGCCUGUUCGUCAGAUUGAAAGCACCAUGUAUGUUAGCAUUUAUAUUUAAUAAUCCUUUAAGAAGACUAAUGCACAUCUUACCAACACUGACCGGCUUCACUUGCUCGGAGGUUAUGCAGCUUAGUCAUCACACCAUCAAAACACACGAAUGCACCUUCAACUGUGCUAUCAGCGAUUGCCAACUCCACACGAUAACUGACGGAGUUUACGGAAAAAAUGAAGACGUCCAUGCCUCUCCAAGGAUAGAAAUUAACGCCCUACAAACUUUCAGUUUUGAAUUAUUGCCUAUACACUAUCUAGCCCUUGAGUAAUUUGCCAAUAAUGAUUUCAAGAAUUUUAAUCAUAUUUUUCUUCCUCCCAACAAGCUAGGCAUUUCGAAUCGUGACUGUGACCAGUUUUACAAGUGCAUCACAUCCGUCUUCUCGAAGUGGACUUUUAUUUAAACGUCACCGUGCUAUCACAUACGAGUUCCUGGAGCUUUGUUUUCAAAAGUUUAACAUGUGUGUUAUAGGUUUCUACGCCGUUACUUUUCUGAUUUUAUGAUAAAGAGGUUUAAGACAGAAUUUUUACAUAAACUUUGGUUAUGAUCUGGUAUCUGUAUCUAUUUAUUUCAAGUGUUUAUGCACCUCCCUACAGGGAAUCACUUCCAAAACAAACAAACAAAAAUUAACUAUAUGAUUUCCCUACUUAUUUCUACCCAGAAACAAACUAAUAUCUUAAAACAUGAACGGUUGUUAUUGCAAAAAAAUCAAACAGAUUUAUUAGUUUGAUGGGAUUUAUUGUUUUCAAAGUCUAGCAUUUAUAAUAUAGAAUAAAUACUUUAAAAAUAUAGUAGAUCAAGAUGAGAUGGUCAACAUUUUAAGGAAAACAAGUGAAGAAAGAUGACUGAAAAGAAUAAGAGAAAUUCUUGGGUUCACCCCCUAGGUGAAUCUAUAGGUUCACCAACCAAUGAAAAUUGGUUAUUUUAUAUACAAAUUUUUUCAAAAAAGGAAACAAAAUUUUUAGAAUUUAUUUUUUUAAAUAAAAGGAUAUAAAAUAAAUAAAAAACGUAUAAUAACAAUAAAAGAUGAUUUUUUUAAUAUUGUUAAAGCUGUUCAUACUAAACACUAAAUCCUAAACCCUAAACAUGAAACCCUAAACCCUUGGAUAAAUCCUAAACCCUUGGGUAAAGAGAUAUUCCAACGGUUAUGAGUCUAUCCAUGGGUUUAGGAUUUACCCAAGGGUUUAGGGUUUAGGUUUUAGGGUUUAGGGUUUAGUAUGAACGGCUUUAACAACAUUAAAAAAUUCAUUUCUUACAGCAGCUACUAUUUUUUUAUUUAUUUUUUAUAUUUUACCUAAGGGUUUAGGAUUUAUCCAAGGGUUUAGGGUUUAAGGUUUAGUGUUUAGGAUUUAGCGUAUAGGGUUUAAUAUGAACGACUUUAACAAUGUUAAAAAAAAUUCAUUUUUAUUGCUAUUAAAUAUGCAACGUAAACACACAUAAAAAUGAGACAUCAUAUUUGGAUAUAUUUAAAUAAAUAAUUUUAAAUAUAUUAUAUUCUUGAUAAUUUUAAAAUUACUUAAAAAGAAACUAAAUUAUUAAAAAAUUAAUAUACAAAUAAAACAAAAACAAUAUUUUGUAACAUCAAAAUAAUAAAUGAAUAAAAAUAUAUUAUGUUAAUAAAAUAGAUUUUAGAUUUUAAAAACUUCUAAUUCAUGUAAUAUAAAAAAUUUCAAAAUUUGUUUAUUACAAUUAAUAUUUUACCAUUAGAUAUAUUAAAAUAAUAUUCUAGAUCGAUAUUCAAUUUUCAGUUUUUAACUAUUACACGUAAAAAAUAUUAUUAAGUACGUUUUUUUGAAAAGGUGGUUUUAUAUUUUAAGUAGGUUAUUGGAGUACUUUUUCUUUUUGUGAAUUUAUUCGAGAUGAGAUUUCGAUCUUUUAAACUACGAUAAUUUAUGUUCUAUACAUAAUUAUAUAUUUUUUACGUAACUCUAAAAUCUCGGACUUGAUUCUUCAUAUUUUAUUAGUUAAUUGUGUUACAUAUAAUAGAAAUACUUACUUCAAACUUAAAAUAUAAAAAAAUCAAAUUUAAAAUUAGUUAUAUAUAAUUUAAUAUACAAGAAUUCACAUACAAAUAAAAAUGAUAAAUAUAAUAAAUUUAAAUAUAUUAUCCGCGCGUAGCGCGGAGAAAGGAUCUAGUUAAAAUGAUGACUAAAUAACAAAAAAGUUAAUAACAAAUCUAUGUUUUUUAGUUUUAUUUUCCUUUAAGUCUUGUUUAUUGAAGUUUGAUUAGUUAUCGUUAUCUUUUAUUCAUUCCAUAUUAAAUAAUGAAAUAUUUAAGAUCUAGUUUUUUUUUGUUUAAAAAUAAUUCUACAAGUUUUAUACACUUGGACAUCAAGGAACGACUAGCUUCAAUUUCAGUCUCAAGUUGCUCGUUUGGAAACAACAAGCUAUACUUAGAUAAAUCGUCAUAUUUAACUGGAUUAUCAUUGGCAUGCACGUCAAACUAUAGGUACAUUAAUUUUCAUAAAGUUGAUAUGGAGAAGUUUUUUUCAUCGUUUAUUUUAUGAUGCUUAAACUUUAAAUUCACACGUACAUUUAUUUAUUCUCAUUCUUGAUUUCCCUCGAACGCUGGAUCUUUUUUAGCUUGCUACGGAUUUUCUUGUCUCUGACUAAACGUGGGUGUUAUGAAAAUAGUAAACCUAUUCUAAAAUACGAUAAUAAAUAACCAUUAGACUUAAUAAUUAGAACAACAAAUAUAUUUAAUAUACUACCACAACAAAAUAUAUAGUCUAGUCAACCUUUUUAUUCCUAGACUACUAAUUUGAGAUAUAUUCAAAAUUAAUGGUAAUUGAACAAUUACCAAAAUAUUACAGUCAAAUUAUUUUUUACCAUACUACUAUAUGAAAUAUGUUGAAAAUUAAUGGUAAUUGAAUACAUUCCUAACGUUGUCCAUUUUGUGUUCUUGACUCUUCCUCUCAACUAUCUGUAUAUAUAAGAUUACAAGUGCAUGACUAUAUUUCAACAUCACAAAACAAAUAAAAGAUAAAACUAAAAGCGACAGCCAUGGGAACACCAAAACUGAAGUUGGCUGUCGAGGAGUUGGAGAUGGAUCAUCUCAUGCUCCAGAUCCAAAAUGGUAGAAUGCUUGAUGACCUUUCUCAAACCGAGACUGAGAAGUUAAAGUCAUAUGCAAGUAAGAAGUUCCAAACUCUUAUGGGUGAGAUCCCAAAGGCACCAUUCCCAAUGAUACAGGGGGAAGUGUCUAUUUGAUGGAUAAGUGGAUCAAGGAUCCAUCUGAUAAGGAGGAUGAGAUGAAGAAGACCUGUGAAGGAGAGAGCAGCAAGUCUGGUGGUGCGGACGAUGCCUAAUGAAGCAGCUAGCCGUCGAAUAAUAAAAUUAAUGUGUCUUGGAAUAAAGUUGUUAUUGUUGUGUCUUUGCAUUCUCGUUUCAUAUUUCUAGUUUUUGUUGCUUUGGUCAUGUUUCCUGUUUUUUGUUUCUUGUUGUGUCAUAAACAUGUGUCUUUGUUUGCAUAUGUUAAUCUAAAUAAUGCAAUGUUUUCCCUUUGCAAUCAUUAAAGAGUUCAUCCCGUAUUUAACACUGUUUUUCUAGAGUUCAACAUAAAGCAAAUUGUUUCAGAACAAUAAGCUAUAUAUAUACACAUUAAUUUUCAUGAAUAGUUUGAUAUGGAAAAGUUUUUCUCAUCGUUUCUUGUAUGAUGCUUAAACCUUAAAUUCACACGUAAGAUUUAUUAUUGUCUUUCUUGAUUUUCCCUCGAACACUGGAUCUUUGGCUGCUUACUACGUAGCAUUUUUUUUUCUUUUUAGCAUUUACAUUAAGACUACAAAUUACUCAGUAUCUACAAUUUCAAGAGAUUUGUUUUAGAGUGUGUGUGUGUGUGUCCUACUUUUUGCAGACGCUGGUCUUCCUAUGGAUGGCAAUUGGUACCACCCGCCCCGCUGCGGUCUCUAUCUCAUGUGGAUCUUUGCGGGUCAGCCCGCCAUGACCUGCGGUACCCAAACCCGCGGGUAGUAAAAAGAUGAUGUUUCGUUGUGGUGAGAAGAUUAUGUUUCCACAUGUUUUCUUGAACGAGGACGGUUCUCAACUCAAUACUGUAACUUAAUAACAGCAUGUGCACUACUAGGACUUAACAGAAACGAAGCAAACAAACUUCUUCCAUAUAAAGUAGGACUUAACAGAAACGCAUCAUUGCUUACAGAGAAAGGAAGGUAAAUUCUAUCUCCUACAUUCAAGGACCCCUUGGCUGCCACCUUCAAACAGACAACAUCAGCUUCUUAAAAAACAGUUCUUGUCCUAACCAAGAAUUAACAAAGAGCUAUUUACCCUUUUAAGUUGUCUUCUUUGUAGUUCAUCACCGUCACAAGUCACAUGCCCUUCUCUUUUUUAACCUGAAACACAUUUACAAAUCUCUUAAUCAUGUAACUUAAUGGUUCGAUCGAAUCAUCAAAAUAAAAUAUUUUAGCUGAAGAGAUCACGGACCUGUCUUAAACGAAAGAGUUCAUGUACGAGGUUUCUAGGUAAGUCCAGACGGCAACGAAGAAUCCACCUCAGCUCCGGUGGUGGGAUCUCCAAGAAGAGAAGCUAUGAGGGUGGAAAGAAAACGGAGAGAAGCUUCACUGGUGGUUCGACGAAGAAGAGAAGCUCCGGUGGUGGCCUUAAUCAAAGAGAAGAAGAACCGGUUGGUGGUGAUGCUCCUCUGGUGCUCGACGGUGACUCGGUGGAGUCGUGGAGAACAUGAAUCGCCAUUUUCAUGAUCUCUCUCUUUUUUUCAGGUGGAAACAAAACAAAACAGGAAGUGGUGCGGGUUCUUUCUGCCCCGCAAGACCCGCAUAGUCCAAACCGCAAAGGCCCAAACCCACAUGAGACUUAACCCACGAGACCCGCUCACAAAUGGGCCUCAAUAUCUCUACCCAAACCCGCCCCGCAUGGGUCUUCUACGGGCCCGGCCCGUGGGCUGCGGUUUAUUUGCCAUUCCUAGUCUUCCCAUAAAUGUCAAGUUAUUCACUCCCACCCAUUAGUCCAACGCUUUCAGUGUAAUGAUAAAAGAAAGCCAAAGUGGAGAGGGAUAGAGAGAGUAGAAUUACACCCCAAAGAUUCCAAUAGCAUUAAUCUUCUUAAUCGCUUCCCUCAUCGCAAAACCUUCUGCCAUUAGUGGUGACAUAACAAAGUUAGUGGAGAUUGAAAAUCUCUGAGUCUCUCUUGAAGUUUUGAUAGUCCAUCCCAGUCUAGCAGCCCCUGAUGUUUCAGUCUUGAAGCACGAUUUAACAUAUGUUUUUAAUAGGAAAGAAAUAAACCACAUGUGGAACAUGUGCUAGGGGAAAACAAUGUCCCUGUAAAAAUGGACUAGACACCACGUAGUGGCAGCUGAUCAAGCUCAGUUACUAGCUCCGUCAACUUAACCUGAUUUUCAUUCCUGCAUUGAACCAACUGCCUCCUUAGAUCUUGGACCUGGUAAUUAAGCCUUUGAAUCUUAUUUUCUUGUGAGAAAAUUCUCUGCCAUAAAUAGAGAUAGUCAUAUCAUUAUUAGAUCAUACUAUGAAGGCAUAUGUGAAACUAAGAGUGGGUGGUUUUCAGAUAACUAUGGUUAAUGUAAGUUUCCUCAGAAUCAAAGCAGCUAAAGAGAAGUGAAACGGAUAAAGACAAACCUUUUCUUGCACAGACUCUUUGCCAUGUAGUAUAUGAUGUUGCUCUUAAUCUGAUUGAAUCAAGGAACGACUAAAGUUUUCUUAUAUGGAGAAGUUUUCUUCAUCGUUUAUUGCCAUUCUUGAUUUCCCUCGAACGCUGGAUCUUUCGUUGCUUGCUACGGAUUUUCUUGUCUCUGACUAAACGUGCGUGUUAUGAAAAUAGUAACCUACUAGGCAGUAACUCGCGAUGUGAGCGGAGUAAAAUAGUUUAUUAGAUUAUUUAUAGUAUGUUGUACUAAAAGAUUUGUCAUAUAGCUUUUUGGAAUAAAUAUUCAUAUAUCUGUUCGAAUUCAGUUGAUCUAUCGGGAUUUCACACUUUUAGAGUUAGAUAUUUAAAUCUUAUUCAGAUAUUUACAAAUUUUGGUUUAGAUUUGGUUUCGAAUCUUUGCGGGUUCGGAUUCGAGUUCGGAUACCAUUUUAAUCAGGUAUUUUUUAACAAAAAUCUAAAUAUACUUAAAUGCUCAAAAUCCAAAAAUAAAAUAAUAUAAAACAUAAAAAUUAAUAAUGUAAGACUAACUAUUUAAAUUUACAUAAAAAUUCAUUCAAUUUAAAUAUUUGGAUGGAGAACAAAUAAAUAUUAUCAGUAUUUUUAACAUUUACUGUUAUUUUUAGAUAUUUACUUGUGUCUAUGUUGAUAAUUUUGAGAUACUUUCAUAUUUUUUAAUAUCUAAUGAAUAUAAUAUUUAAAAUAAUUAAUAUAUUUAAAUAUAUAAUUGAGAUUUAGAUAUUUUGGUAUUCCAAAAUAUUUUAUUUUGGAUUAGAUUCGAUUCUGGUUAUCUAGAUAUUAAACUUUUAAUCCAUCUGAAUAUACUUAAUCGUUUUAGUUUGUGUUUAGUAUUACUUUCAAAUCUAGUUCGAUUCAGUUUCAGAUCCAGAUGAGUUAAUCAAAUAAAUUGUGUGUGAACACAUUAAAUUAUUUGCGGUAGAGUUAAAAAAUUAGUGUGUGAAUGCAUUAAUUGUUAAAUGAUUGUGAGGCCGACACGUCAGCAUACUCAAAUUGAAAUCAAUGUGAAGCUAUAACAUAGAAAAUAUAGUGUGAACGCAUUAAUUACAAAUGUUUCUCUUUUAAUAUAUAGGAGAUACUAAAAUACGAUAAUAAAAAAAAUAGACUUAAUAAUUAGAAAAACCAAUAUAUUUAAUAUACUACCACAACAAAAUAUUUAGGGACAAACUGGUAACCACUAUAGGAACACUAGGAAUGAGUAGGAGAAAAAUGUAGAGAAAUAAAAUUAUAGGAAGAAAAGAAAGAUUAUUCCUUACCGAUUUUAAUGAGAAACAAAUUUGUUCUAUAUUCCUCUAGAAUAAAAGGAAUGAGAAGAAUAAAAAAGAAAAAUUAUUUCUUAUAAAUGGUAAAAAUAAUUAGAAAUAGUAAUAAAUUCAUCAUUCCUUUCAUUCAGUGGUCACCAGUUAGACCCUCAGUAUAGUCAAACUUUUUCUUCCUAGACUACUAAUUUGAGAUAUAUUCAAAAUUAAUGGUAAUUGAACAAUUACUAAAAUAGUACAGUCAAAUUAUUAUUUACCAUACUACUAUAUGAAAUAUGUUGAAAUUUAAUGGUAAUUGAAUACAUUCCCAAAGUAGUCCAUUUUGUGUUCUUGACUCUUCCUCUCGACUCUCUCUAUAUAUAUAAGAUUGCAAGUGCAUGACUAUAUUUCAACAUCACAAAUAAAAGAUAGAACUAAAAGCGACAGCCAUGGGAAGACCAAAAGUGAAGUUGGCUUGGGUCGAGGAACGAAAGAGAAGAGCUACUGUUUGCCAGCGGAGAAUGAAAGAAUUGAUUCAAAUGGCUGAAGAACUAACCAUCGUUUGUGAUAUGAGUGCAUGUUUGGUCUUUUACAACCGUAAAAAUGGUAAGCUGGUGGUGUGGCCAUCUCUGGAGGAGGCUCAAUCUCUCAUCGACUGCUAUAACGCAUUACCGGAAACCGAGAGGAACAUGAAGGCGGAUGAUGAAGAGUCAUCAUUCAUCAAGACCAUUACCAAGGAGAUCGAGAAGAAACUAGAGCUUUCUCGGAAGGCUAUCAGGAGUUGAAGAUGGAUAAUCUCAUGCUCCAAAUCAAAAAUGGUAGUAGAAUGAUUGCUGAUCUUUCUCAAACCGAGAUUGAGAAGUUAAAGUCAUAUGCAAGUAAGAAAAUUGCGUAUUAUGAUAGAGAGUUACGUAAGCAACAUCCGAAUACGAGUGGCAAUGAGCCAUUUCUUGAGGAUGACAUGGGGAGAUGAAGACCUAUGAAGGAGAGAGCAGCGAGUCUGAUGGUGCGGACAAUACCUAAUGAAGCAGAUAGCUGUCGAAUAAUAAAAUUAAUGUGUCUUGGAAUAAAGUUGUUACUGUUGUGUCUUUGCAUUCUCGUUUCAUAUUUCUAGUUUUUGUUGCUUUGGUCAUGUUUCUUGUUUUUUUUUGUUUCUGUUUCUUGUUGUGUCUUAAACUUGUGUCUUUGUUUGCAUAUGUUAACCUAAAUUAAUGCAAUGUUUUCUAUUUCAAUCAUUGAAGAGCUCAUCUCGUAUGUAACACUAUAUGUUUUCUAGGGUUCAACAUAGCAAAUUCUUUAAGAAUAAACUAUAUUUUGAUAAAGCAUCGUAUUUAACUGAGAUUAUCAUUGGCAUGCAUGUCAAACUAUAGGUACAUUAAUUUUCAUGAAUAAUUUAAUUCUUUAAGAAAAGCUAUAUUUUGUCCAACGUUUCUUUUAUGAUGCUUAAACCUUAAUUUCACACGUUAGAUUCAUUGUUGUCUUUCUUGAUUUUCCCCGACCGCUGGAUCUUUCGUUGCUUGCUACAUAGUAAAACUUUUUUUAGCAUAUACAUGAACAAUACAAAUUACUCAGUAACUACAAUUUCAAGAGAUUUGUUUAAGUGUGUGUCCUGUCCAAGUUAUUGACUUCACUCAUUAGUCCAACACUUUCAGUGUAAUGAUAAAUGAAACCAACGAGAAGAGAGAUAGAGAGAGAGUAGAAUUACACCCCAAGAUUCCAAUAGCAUCCUUAGCUACACAUACUUGAUGUAGUACACCUAUAAGGACAUCUAUAAGGACCACUCCUCUUUGAUUGCUUCUUCAAAGUACACAGAACUUUCAAGUGCGCAGUGUUUAUAAACAAGUCUUUUGGGGUAUUAGGUUGAUUAAAGAAUCUUGAUUAACAUUUCAAGCCUGUGAAGUGUGUGAGAGAAAGCUUCAAUCUGCACACACCAAACAUGUGAUUCAGAAUAUAGUACUCAUGAGGAUUCAGUAGGGUGAAAAAAAUGCCCUUCUACUGUAAAACUUUUUUGCAGAGAAAGCUAUGGGCGUUCCCCAGUCAAAAAAAAAUACGCUUCUAAACAAGUUUCAGAAGGAUAUUGCAACUACUUACCUGUAUCUACUGAGAGAUAUUCAGAGACAGACACAACAUAAUAGUGUUGUACAAGUUUUACAAGUUUUUCUGAAUAUUAAUAUUACGUUUGAAUCAUUGGAAAAUGGUAAUAAUUUUCAUGAGAUUAACAGAGCAUAAACCCAUAUGAAAUUAAGUUGUGAGGGUUUUAGGAAAAUUGGAUAUUUAGUUCCAAAAUAGAGCAACGAUAUUAAGAUUUUUUUUUUUUUGUUAAAGAACAAUGUUAAGAUUUGUUAUUAUAUAAAUAUAUCUAUUAAUAGUGUUGUCAUAUAAACAUAUGUACUUAUAGCAAAUCACACUUCAAAAAUGUUCAAUUGUAUCAAAAAUGAUAGUAUACAUAUUUAUUUGUGUAUGUACAUGACUUUUAUCUUAUCUCCCUUCAAAACUAUAGUAUGCAAUAACGCUGACUUUCAUUUUACUAUUGAACAAACUUCCAAAUACGUUCCAACUAAAAACUCUAACAAUGUGAUUUCACCAUUUAUUUAUAGUAUCCCAUAAAAUAAAAUAAUAAAAUCAAAAAGAACUAAAAGAUAUCCUAACAAACAAUGAUUUUAAACUCAUUUUCAAAUGGAAAUAAUGUUUCAUAAGCUCAAACCAACGAAAAGAUCUAAUCUCACAAAUAAUUUUUCUUUUGUGUUACCAAACUCAAAAACCAAAAAAAUAAUAUGAAAAUUAAUGGAAAAGCAAAAUGAGCAAUUAUACAUAAUCAAACAUAUAGUUAAAAAAGAGUAACACUAUCUAAUAAAUUAAAAAAAAAAAAAAAAAAAGCAUACAUAUUACUAUCUCCCAAACAUCGACACACUUUUAAGGAAAGCAAAAUGACAUUGUAACAUCGUCUCUUGCAUUUUUUUAAUUAAAGAAAUUAAUUACAAAGUUUUGACGAACCGCAAUACACAAGAAAUCUAAAAAUAACAUAUGAUCAUGGAUUAACUCAAAUAAAUAAAUUUUUAAAAUAAAAAAAAAUUCAUCGUCGCAAUAAAGAUAAAAUAUUAUAUCAUUCCAAGAAUCACAACAAUAUAAUUAUGCAAUUUGGUCAACAACAGCUAAUUCAGCUCUCGAUAUCAUUAGAUAUUAUAUAAAUAAAGAUCACAUGUAAAUAAUGUUUCACAAAAACAGAAAAUUAUGCUUUUGAAAAUAAAAAUAUGUCGAUCUAAACACUUAAUUACGUCAAAAUCCCGCGCGAAGCGCGGACUUGCCCUAGUAUUGCAUAAUUAAGAGUUUAAUAAUUUUUUCGCUUUCAACCUACAUGAAUUCUUAAGUUGGUGCAUAAUUACUCUGAAACUUGUUUUUAUCUAAAAAGUAUUAUUAAAAUAUAAAUUGAAAAUUGUUCAUUCAAUAAUAAAAUAAACUACAAAAUAUCAUUAAUUAUGCAAUUUUUGAUAAAAGUAAAAAUUACAUUGAAAAAAUGAAAACAUCUUCUAUUUUUAAACAUCAAAAACUUCCUUGUUUAAAACCGACGGGGGUAUAACUUUAUUACAUUAUAUUAAGAAAACAAAGAAACUUGUCUUAUGAUAGCAUCAAAACUUGGAAAUGUGUAAUACAAAUAUGACAAUGGCCAGCCGAACAAAUUAGUUAGCAGGUCCUCUUCGUAGGGCACAAAAGCAUGUUUUUGAGAGUUCAGAGACUAAUCAAAACUGAUACGACGCAUCUUACAAACAAGAUUAGCCGUAGGGAAAUCAAGUUCACUACCAGCGUCUGAUUUCAUCACAUCUUUGAGCUCAUCUCUUGGUGUAGCCAAACACGUCUGGAAAGUUGCAAGCACAGGCGGAAUCGGCAUGGACAAGGCCGCAAGCACAUUGCUCAAGUACUCUAUAUCUACACACAGUUGCUGUGCUCCUCGGUCUGAAAUGUAUUGGAUUCCUCUCAGUUGCUCCAUGUACAGAGCCGUUGCGCCUUCUGCUACCUUGAACAUCCACUCAGUUGCAAAGAACUGUGCGUCCUCGUUGUUUGAAUCACCAUUGGUUGAGAUUCCUUCAGCUAGAGGCUCAAGCUGCUGAGGUAAAGUCAGGAGAUAUUCUCCAACGCUUGUAACGUAAGCCUGAGGGUAUGAGCUGAAGUUUGGUAGAGCAAACGCAGUUUGUUCUUCCACAGAAGACCAGAUUGGUAGGCGAGAUACUUCCCCGAGUCUUUGCCUGACUUUUGAUAUGAGGAUGUCAUAGACAAGUUCGUUCACUGUGUCCGCAAACGCAGCUACUCUCUGAGAUGCCAAAGGCAGUGCGUGGAACCUUG
RNAcentral lists this long non-coding RNA (13552 nucleotides) under Brassica rapa (field mustard). Its description in RNAcentral is "long non-coding RNA (BRAP_LNC008533)". Lineage: Eukaryota; Viridiplantae; Streptophyta; Magnoliopsida; Brassicales; Brassicaceae. The record is from RNAcentral.